This 446-nucleotide ribosomal RNA is filed under the name uncultured bacterium. RNAcentral describes it as "partial 16S ribosomal RNA". It matches the Rfam family "Bacterial small subunit ribosomal RNA", at positions 338 to 795 of the family's 1533-position model. The record is from RNAcentral.
CCUACGGGAGGCAGCAGUAGGGAAUUUUCGGCAAUGGGGGGAGCCCUGACCGAGCAACGCCGCGUGAACGAAGAAGUUACUCGUAGUGUAAAGUUCUUUUAACAGGGAAGAAAGAGAAAUUUGACGGUAUCUGAAGCACAAGCUCCGGCUAACUACGUGCCAGCAGCCGCUGUAAUACGUAGGGAGCGUGCGGUAUCUGGAAUUAUUGGGCGUAAAGGGUGCGUAGAUGGCAUAGUAAGUCUUUGGUAAAAAUGCUGGGCUCAACCGCGUAGGGCAAAAAAGACUGGAAAACUAGAGUAUGACAGAGGUAAGUGGAACAACAUGAGUAGCGGUAAAAUGCGUAGAUAUAUGUUAGAACACCAGUAGCGAAGGCAGCUUGCUAGGUCGAUACUGACAUUGAAGCACGAGAGCGUGGGGAGCGAACAGGAUUAGAUACCCCAGUAGUC